This 2093-nucleotide ribosomal RNA is filed under the name human gut metagenome. RNAcentral describes it as "bacterial LSU rRNA". It matches the Rfam family "Bacterial large subunit ribosomal RNA", at positions 467 to 2568 of the family's 2925-position model. The record is from RNAcentral.
UAAAUACUCCCGAGAGACCGAUAGCGAACCAGUACCGUGAGGGAAAGGUGAAAAGCACUUCGAACAGAAGAGUGAAAUAGUUCCUGAAACCGUGCGCCUACAAGCGGUCGGAGCUCGUUAAUGAGUGACGGCGUGCCUUUUGCAUAAUGAACCUACGAGUUGCCUUUGCCGGCAAGGUUAAGUGUGACGACACACGUAUCCGAAGCGAAAGCGAGUCUGAACAGGGCGUAUAGUCGGCAGUGGCAGACGCGAAACCAAGUGAUCUACCCUUGGCCAGGUUGAAGGCUGGGUAACACCAGCUGGAGGACCGCACCAAUAAGCGUUGAAAAGCUUCUGGAUGAGCUGAGGGUAGGGGUGAAAGGCUAAUCAAACUUGGAGAUAGCUCGUACUCCCCGAAAUGCAUUUAGGUGCAGCCUUGCGGGUUACUGAUGUGAGGUAGAGCGACUGAUAAGAUGCGAGGGCUUCACCGCCUAUCAAGUCUUGACAAACUCCGAAUGCGCAUCAGUUCUACCGCAGGAGUGAGGGCAUGGGUGCUAAGGUCCGUGCCCGAGAGGAGAAGAAUCCGGACCACCUGCUAAGGUCCCGAAAUGACAGCUAAGUUAAACUAACGAAGUCUGACUGCUAAGACAGCUAGGAUGUUGGCUUGGAAGCAGCCAUUCAUUUAAAGAGUGCGUAACAGCUCACUAGUCGAGGAGUCGGGCGUGGAUAAUAAUCGGGUAUCAAGUUGUCUACCGAAGCAGUGGGAUCAUUUAUAUGAUCGGUAGGGGAGCAUUCCAGUCAGCGUCGAAGGCGUACCGUGAGGUAUUCUGGAGCGUCUGGAAAAGCAAAUGUAGGUAUAAGUAACGAUAAAGGGGGCGGGAAACCCCCUCGCCGAAAGACUAAGGUUUCCUGAUCAACGCUAAUCGGAUCAGGGUCAGUCGGGUCCUAAGGCUCAGCCGAACGGCGAUGCCGAUGGCAGAAACGGUUAAUAUUCCGUUACUACCUUCAGGAGUGACGUGGAGACGCAGUAGUGACAGUGCCGCCAUCUGACGGAAUAGAUGGUUGAAGGGUGUAGGAGUCGAUCAUGGCAGGCAAAUCCACCAUGAGAUCCGAACCUGAUAGUAUGCCGCGUCCUUCGGGACAAGGCAAUAGUGCGCGUAAGCAUGCUGCCGAGAAAAUCCGCUAAACUUAAUCCUGCAGGUACCCGUACCGCAAACGGACACACGUAGUCGGGAUGAAUAUUCUAAGGCGCUUGAGUGAUUCACGGUUAAGGAACUAGGCAAACUGACCCUGUAACUUCGGGAUAAAGGGUCCCUACCCUUUUAUGGGAGGGCGCAGAGAAUCGGUCCAGGCAACUGUUUAACAAAAACACAGGGCUGUGCCAAAUCGAAAGAUCCAGUAUACAGCCUGACACCUGCCCGGUGCUGGAAGGUUAAGAGGAGAUGUCAUCGAUAAGAGAAGCGUUGAAUUGAAGCCCCAGUAAACGGCGGCCGUAACUAUAACGGUCCUAAGGUAGCGAAAUUCCUUGUCGGGUAAGUUCCGACCUGCACGAAUGGUGUAAUGAUCUGGACACUGUCUCAACCGUGAGCUCAGUGAAAUUGUAGUAUCGGUGAAGAUGCCGAUUACCCGCGAUGGGACGAAAAGACCCCGUGAACCUUUACUAUAGCUUAUCAUUGAAUCUGGGCACGUGAUGUGUAGGAUAGGUCGGAGGCUUUGAAGCAGGUACGCCAGUAUUUGUGGAGCCGCUGUUGAAAUACGACCCUUUAUUUGUUUGGAUUCUAACCCGUGGAACGGGGACAUUGAUUGGUGGGUAGUUUGACUGGGGUGGUCGCCUCCAAAAGCGUAACGGAGGCUUCUAAAGGUGCCCUCCGGCCGAUUGGUAACCGGCCUUAGAGUGUAAUGGCAUAAGGGCGCUUGACUGGGAGACUAACAAGUCGAUCAGGUAGGAAACUAGAGCAUAGUGAUCCGGUGUUUCCGUAUGGAAGGGACAUCGCUCAAAGGAUAAAAGGUACUCCGGGGAUAACAGGCUGAUCCCUCCCAAGAGCUCAUAUCGACGGAGUGGUUUGGCACCUCGAUGUCGGCUCGUCACAUCCUGGGGCUGGAGAAGGUCCCAA